RNAcentral lists this unclassified non-coding RNA (391 nucleotides) under soil metagenome. RNAcentral's name for it is "partial contains 5.8S ribosomal RNA, internal transcribed spacer 2, and large subunit ribosomal RNA". The stretch from base 1 to 122 matches the Rfam family "5.8S ribosomal RNA", at positions 35 to 154 of the family's 154-position model. The record is from RNAcentral.
GAUGAAGAACGCAGUGAAAUGUGAUACUUGGUGUGAAUUGCAGAAUCCCGUGAACCAUCGAGUCUUUGAACGCAAGUUGCGCCCGAAGCCAUUAGGCCGAGGGCACGCCUGCCUGGGCGUCACACGUCGUUGCCCCCCCAUCUAAUCCUUCGGGAUUGCGGGGGGCGGAUGAUGGCCUCCCGUGCGCCUCGUCGCGCGGUUGGCAUAAAUGCCAAGUCCUCGGCGACGCACGCCACGACAAUCGGUGGUUGCGAAACCUCGGUUGCCCGUCGUGUGCGGUCGUCGCGCAUCGAGGGCUCGAAAAAAUUGCCGGGCUCCGGCUCGACUUUCAACGCGACCCCAGGUCAGGCGGGGUUACCCGCUGAAUUUAAGCAUAUCAAUAAGCGGAGGA